AGUGAACGCCGGCGGUAGGCCUAACACAUGCAAGUCGAACGGCAGCACAGUAAGAGCUUGCUCUUACGGGUGGCGAGUGGCGGACGGGUGAGGAAUACAUCGGAAUCUACUUUUUCGUGGGAGAUAACGUAGGGAAACUUACGCUAAUACCGAAUACGACCUACGGGUGAAAGCAGGGGAUCUUCGGACCUUGCGCGAUUGAAUGAGCCGAUGUCGGAUUAGCUAGUUGGCGGGGUAAAGGCCCACCAAGGCGACGAUCCGUAGCUGGUCUGAGAGGAUGAUCAGCCACACUGGAACUGAGACACGGUCCAGACUCCUACGGGAGGCAGCAGUGGGGAAUAUUGGACAAUGGGCGCAAGCCUGAUCCAGCCAUACCGCGUGGGUGAAGAAGGCCUUCGGGUUGUAAAGCCCUUUUGUUGGGAAAGAAAAGCAGCAGGUUAAUACCCCGCUGUUCUGACGGUACCCAAAGAAUAAGCACCGGCUAACUUCGUG
RNAcentral lists this ribosomal RNA (492 nucleotides) under uncultured bacterium. Its description in RNAcentral is "partial 16S ribosomal RNA". It matches the Rfam family "Bacterial small subunit ribosomal RNA", at positions 29 to 507 of the family's 1533-position model. The record is from RNAcentral.